GCGGAGAAUCACUGAGAGCUGCUACC
Molecule: non-coding RNA, 26 nt
Filed under: Cricetulus griseus (Chinese hamster)
Lineage: Eukaryota; Metazoa; Chordata; Mammalia; Rodentia; Cricetidae
Source: RNAcentral